Molecule: ribosomal RNA, 623 nt
Filed under: uncultured bacterium
Lineage: Bacteria
Description: bacterial SSU rRNA
Rfam family: Bacterial small subunit ribosomal RNA
Source: RNAcentral
AUUGAACGCUGGCGGCAGGCCUAACACAUGCAAGUCGAGCGGUAGAGAGAAGCUUGCUUCUCUUGAGAGCGGCGGACGGGUGAGUAAUGCCUAGGAAUCUGCCUGGUAGUGGGGGAUAACGUUCGGAAACGGACGCUAAUACCGCAUACGUCCUACGGGAGAAAGCAGGGGACCUUCGGGCCUUGCGCUAUCAGAUGAGCCUAGGUCGGAUUAGCUAGUUGGUGGGGUAAUGGCUCACCAAGGCGACGAUCCGUAACUGGUCUGAGAGGAUGAUCAGUCACACUGGAACUGAGACACGGUCCAGACUCCUACGGGAGGCAGCAGUGGGGAAUAUUGGACAAUGGGCGAAAGCCUGAUCCAGCCAUGCCGCGUGUGUGAAGAAGGUCUUCGGAUUGUAAAGCACUUUAAGAUGGGAGGAAGGGCCAUUACCUAAUACGUGAUGGUUUUGACGUUACCGACAGAAUAAGCACCGGCUAACUCUGUGCCAGCAGCCGCGGUAAUACAGAGGGUGCAAGCGUUAAUCGGAAUUACUGGGCGUAAAGCGCGCGUAGGUGGUUUGUUAAGUUGGAUGUGAAAUCCCCGGGCUCAACCUGGGAACUGCAUUCNAAACUGACUGACUAGAG